UACGAAGGGGGCGAGCGUUGUUCGGAUUUACUGGGCGUAAAGGGCGCGCAGGCGGCUCAUUUUGUCAGGCGUGAAAGCCCCGGGCUUAACCUGGGAACUGCGUUUGAUACGGAUGGGCUAGAGUUCGGGAGAGGAGAGUGGAAUUCCCAGUGUAGAGGUGAAAUUCGUAGAUAUUGGGAAGAACACCGGUGGCGAAGGCGGCUCUCUGGACCGAUACUGACGCUGAGGCGCAAAAGCGUGGGGAGCAAACAGG
This 253-nucleotide ribosomal RNA is filed under the name uncultured bacterium. RNAcentral's name for it is "partial 16S ribosomal RNA". It matches the Rfam family "Bacterial small subunit ribosomal RNA", at positions 524 to 776 of the family's 1533-position model. The record is from RNAcentral.